Molecule: long non-coding RNA, 1333 nt
Filed under: Homo sapiens (human)
Lineage: Eukaryota; Metazoa; Chordata; Mammalia; Primates; Hominidae
Description: HSALNT0345569
Source: RNAcentral
GCGGAGCUGCUUUUCAGCAGAGACCUGCAGCAUCAGAAAGAGCCAGUGAGCUGGUGACCUGGGAAAAGAGAGUUGCAGGCAAAGGGAACGGCCAGUGCAGAGGCCGUGGGGUAAGAAUAACCUUGGUGUGCUCCAGGGACAGAAAGAAGACCAGGGCACCCAGUCCACUGAGUGGAAGGAAGAGAAAUAUGCCAAGGGUGGAAAGCCGCCGUGUAAGAAGUACCUUUCACCUUCCACCAUGAUUGUGAGGCCUCCCCAGCCACGUGGAAAUGCUGCGUCAAUGAUUGUAGUGCUAAUUGUUACAGACAUGACCACAAUGCCAAGGCGAAUGGGGACAAUGAAAUCCAUGGCUGGUUUUAAGGGCAGGUGCAGAGGAUCCAGCAUGUUAUUCUGAAACCCCAGAAGACGCUGCAGCUACCAAAUAGAAGGAGCCUGGAUCCCUGAAUGUCUUCAUGGAACAGAACAUUCUCCUCACUCCAGUCUGUUUGAACCAGAAUAUGACCUGAGCAAGAAAUAAGCCUUAAUUAUAUUUGACCAUAGAAUUCUGGUGAUAUUUCUAUGGCUGUAAGUCCAUGUUGAUUAAUACAAAGGGAUGCUGUAAAGCCUCUUCUAUUAAAAAAAGUUGCCCAAGGAGUGAAAGGAGAGAUAUUUUCUGUAAUUAAGAUUUUCAUAAUACAUAGAACAGGCUAUAGCACCUGGCAAUCAAUCAUAUGGGGUACAACAGAAAGAGGAAACAUUCCUGCUAUUAAAUUAACCAAACUGGAGUUCUUGUUAUAUAAUAUAGUAAAAUUUCCUCAAUCUUUCAGCCACCUUUAGUUCUGUAAUCUAUUAUUUCUGGGUAAAAGCAUACCAUUUGAUACACAAUCCAAACCCAAUUCUUAAUUAAUAACGUGUAUCCACUGUAUCUUACCACAUCCCAAAUCAUCUAAUACUUAACCACCUAGUUUCUAUGUUCCACUUACAUCAAACAUAUUCAUGUUUGGAAAAUUGAGCCAGCAUCUACUGCCUUAUCAGCUGAUGCAUAACAAUUUACUUUGUCUGUGCUCUAUAAUAAUGCAAGUCUGCUUGGAAAGAUAACACGUUAAAGGGUUAUCAGACCCUAACACCUUCGUAUAGAUGAAUUUAUCAGAUCCUCUGCUAAACCACUUUCGAAUCCUUGGCCAGUUCUCUACAUUUCAUGAAGAGUUAGCAUAGCCAGUCCAGGAGAUAUUAUCUUCAGGAUGUGGUCAGUUGUGGAAAGGAAGAUAGCUCUGAGGAUCUCUUUCCAGGGAAAAGAAAGACAUGAGGAUUGCUCCAAAGAUCCUCUUUCUGGGGGAAAACGCACAUACUACAG